AUCGCGGAUGCAAAACUUCCCGAUAUGCAAGCCGGCUGGGAGCAGGCGACGUCAAAUGUAAUGGCUGGCUUAUCGGGGCUGAAUAUGGUCUAUGAAGCCG
Rhodobacteraceae bacterium SB2 is the source of this 100-nucleotide regulatory RNA element. It matches the Rfam family "Pyrrolysine insertion sequence mttB". The record is from Rfam. Lineage: Bacteria; Pseudomonadati; Pseudomonadota; Alphaproteobacteria; Rhodobacterales; Paracoccaceae.